GGGGCUGUAGCUCAGGGGCCGAGCACUCGCCUCGCAUGAGUGAAGCACUGGGUUCGAUCCUCAGCACCACG
Molecule: transfer RNA, 71 nt
Filed under: Marmota monax (woodchuck)
Lineage: Eukaryota; Metazoa; Chordata; Mammalia; Rodentia; Sciuridae
Description: tRNA.Ala
Source: RNAcentral